Heterocephalus glaber (naked mole-rat) is the source of this 4842-nucleotide non-coding RNA. The record is from RefSeq and is a predicted model, not a curated record. Lineage: Eukaryota; Metazoa; Chordata; Mammalia; Rodentia; Bathyergidae.
AGUGCUGAGAUCACAGGUGUGCGCAACCACGUCUGGCCCGUGUCUUCUUCUAAGCAUACUGUAUUGAUAUUUUAAUCCUUGUUUCCUUUGUUCUUCCGUUCGAAGGCAGUCCCUCCCCACCACGCACACAUCCUUGCCCCUUCAUUCUCUGUGAUCCUGUCUGUGAGGCUUAGUCCUGGUCUCCGCCCAGCCUGCCCAGCAAAUACGCACGGAUCUGCCCCCGACUGCCGCCCUUGCCUCAGAGAUCGAGGAGUCCUCAGGUUCAUGGACUCGCGUUCUUAGGCGCAGCCAGGAAGCACGCAGGGCGCUCAGGAGAGAACCCUCCAAGGGUCUGCCUCUGAGCCUCCCGAGAACCGCGUUGAGGGCCUGGAGCGGGAGCGGAUGCAGUAGGAAAACCUCGUUAUAAACGCACGCGCUCAGACGCGUGCCCCGAGCCCAAGGUCUAGCGCGCGUCACUGCGAGCCAAGCUAACGGAAGGUGGAAAACACCGGUCUACAUUUUGGCCCAUAAAGAGGUUGCAAGAAAGCGUGGAAGACACGAUUACAGAGUGAGACCCUGGAAACCAUCCCAAAAACCGCGACCCGAGCGGCGGGCAGAGCGAGGCCCAGGCCAGGAGUCUUCAAGGCGACGAGCGCUCUGGACACCACCCUGUUGGUUUCCCGUCUCUCGAGCGAGAGAACGCUGCUUCCUCUGCGGAUCUAAGAUCCAGGCCCGGCCCCUCCUCUGCUACGGUGCUGCUCCUCGAGGCCUGGAACGGUUUGCCCGGUUCCUGGUUGGGAACUCUCGGCAACGACUGACAGGCGGCGCUGGUCUCCACGCUAGACUCGGGCACGCGUGGGCAGAGCGCUCGAAGGUGGUGGCCACUCAUUCCCCGCGGAUCCGAUUCCCUAGAGCAUGGUCUACACUCAUCCCUAAAAUGGAAAGCUCUCCGCGUUCUAUGGAGGUAGCUGAGCUUUUUGUUUUCAAGUCAGGUGAUACUAAUUUCCAGAAUUGUUGCUUUGUAGAGUGCAAAAUCAUGUUCAAAGAGCCCACAACGAUUUGCUGUCUCAGGGCUGGCUCCGUGGCUUAGCUGGUUAAAGCGCCUGUCUAGUAAACAGGAGAUCCUGGGUUCAAAUCCCAGCGGGGCCUGUAGGGUGGUAGUCUGGUGUCCCUUUUGAAAUUCUGUCUGGUGCAACGUGUCAGCCCUGAUGAAAUCUGUCUUGCUGUUUGAGAACAAGGAAUGGAAAAAGAACAGCUUUAGAAAUAGACCCUUUCAGGUGUUUCACUAUUGAAAAGAAAUCAUUUCUGCUACCUCACCAGCUGCAACGCAUUUGGAAUAAAGUUGGCACUUAAUGUUUUUAUCAUGGACCAGCAAAUGGAUAACUGGUGGUUUCUAAUUUUCAUUGCCUUGUACACGUAUACUUCUAUCAAUAGCUUUGAGGAACGAUGCACAGUGCCUAGAAAAAGUUAAAAAGAAAGGACUAGGAUUGGGAAGUUUGAAGUCAGAAAUGAUGUUUUGUACUUUGCUGUUAGCACAUGUUUUAUCUUCUGUUUCUUUGGACAUUCUAAGGUAUAUCUUCAAAUUAUGUGUCAGACACACAACACUCACUGUACCGUCACAAUGAUGCGUACAAAAUUUUUCAAGCAAUGGAUUGCAUCUCAAACAGCUUCUUGCUCCUUACCAUAAUCGCUCAACAGAUUGCUCAGUCUCUGUUGAGCAUGUGGGAGGUCGGGGCGCUGGAUAUAAUGUAACAUAAUGUAAUGUAAUAGAAUAUAAUGUAGUAACAUCACUCAGCCCCGAACUACUAGGUGAUGAAGGUGCUUUCCUUUAUCAAACAAUUUUCAAACAAAGCCUAGACUUCUACCGUUGUGUCUUUGGUUAAAGGACUUCUCCAUAAUCAAAUACUAUUUCUUUCCCGACUUACAUAUUGUUUAUUCAAACAGAGCCUGGUUUCUCAGGGACCACAUGCCAUUUGGGCUGUGGUCCCCAGGCAGUGAGGUGCUUUUUGUGAUUUAAAGUGGGCCUAGAGUCACCUGAGGCUAGUUAUGUGGUUCUUUCUCCUUCAGGCCCAAGUAUUAAUUCCAAAUAUUGGCACUGGAUAAACUUGGGUGAGAUGAUUUUGAUGUCCCUAAAAAAGUGAACAGUAAGGCACAGCUAUGAGGGAAAAUGUUGAGGAGAGAGAAAUGGUGGUAAUACUUGGAGGUAUUUUCACCUGUGUUCAGGCAAGGAGCCUUAGGUGAGUGAGGUGAACUUGGCAACAAAGCUACAGAAAGCUGCAAACGCUCCCACUCGGCAGGCUGUGGAGGUCUCCCGGCACCUCUGUCCCCGCUCCCUGCCCUGCUUCCUCCUUGGCUCUGAGACUGCGGCCAAAGCUGUCACCCCAUUUGCACACGGGCAUCGCUCAAAGCUGGGCAUCCCCCAUUGCACAGACAGCUCAGUCCACAGUGAACCGUGACCACAUGAGGAAGAUGCCAGUCCCAGGACUGGUAAGGAAGGAGUUGAUCCUUCCAGCACCUCUCAGAAUUUCUUCAUCCAGCGUAUGGCCCUUGGCAGCCUGUCUGGAGCUGACACCCUCCCAACCGUGUCUACAUGAAGUCUCUGCCAAGCCUCAAACUCAUAUUUCUGUUUCUGCCAGCGACCCCUGUAGUCAGGUUCCAGUCCCCACCUGCCCAACGUGUGAUGCAGGCCUGAGAAAAAGAAUACACUGAGAGACAGAACUAGGAGAGAGAAAGCGGGCGCCAGGACGACCGGUGCCGGUGCGACCGACAAAGGCCCUGGCCAGUCCCAGGCACUGACUUUCAUUGGCAAUCAAUUGGGGUAAAGGUGAGCUACGUGCAGUUUCUGUGGAAAUUAAUGUAAACAAGGCUCCUAAAGGACAAGACAAAGCAUCCUCAAAUUAGCAACCGAAUAGACAAAAUGUAUGGCUGUAAUUAGAACACUGUCCUCCUAGUCUGAAGGUUUUAGUUGUGGGAACAGAAUUUGGGUUCGAGUUACUCUGCCCUCGGCAGGACCUUGCAAGGCAGGCAUGGUACCAGGGUCACUUCUACAAACACGUGAAUUGUGAGGCUAGGUCUUCACAGCCUGCCUGGGGCAUGGCCAGUGUUAGGGUCCUCUGCACGCUUGCGCUUGGGUUUCCUGCAGGCAUCCCUACCAAGGCCCACCGCAGACUGAACUCCAACAUUCCGGUCAGAAACUGGGUUGCACUGGUCUCCUCCAUGUCUGCCCCUGGGAUCCUGCAGUCUGCUGGUCUCCCUGCAGCCUGUGUGUGGGCCUCUCCCCAUCCUUCUCUUCUCCCUAUUUGGGCCAUCAGCAUUCAUCACGGCAACCUCACAACAACCUGCUGCUGUUCCUGCCGCCUGCAAGAGUGGGAGUCUCCAUCCACCUCAGAUCCACGGAGGCUGACUUCACCUACAGAACAUCAUUUGUGUGCAUUCCCAUCGCACUUUUACUUCACUUGGGGUUUAUUUAGAAAUGUAGUGUUUAUCCUUCCAAAACCUGAGAAUGUUUUACCUGUCUUUGUGUUAUUGACUUCCACUUUGUGUUGUCAGAAAUCAUAUUUUGUAAUGAUUUUAAUCCUUUAAAAUUUAUCGAGACUUGUGUUAUAGCCCUAUUUUGGUGAAUUCUCCACACACAUUUGAAAAUAAUGUGUAUUCUGCAGCAUUUGGAUGUGAAUAUAAAUGCCACCUAGGUCAGAUUGGUGGUUAAUAGCCAUGCUUCGAGUUUACUAUAUUCCUAGUUGUUUCCUCUUUCGGCUGCUCAUCAGCUAGUCAGAGGUGUCUAAAAUCGCCAACCAUGAUGCUGGUGAUUCUUAUUCUUGGUUUUAAUUUUCUUCAUAUAAGAAUGAAUGUCUUCCUGUGGAAUUGGUCAUUUCAUCAUUAUGUAAUGCUCCUCCUCGUCUGGGGUCUUGCGUUUUGCCUGGACUUCUACUCGGAUAUAUCAAUGUAUCUCUGCCAGCUUUCUCACCAGGGUGUGCUCUUGGCAUGUCCUUGUCCAUCUCUGCUAUUUUUAGUGUGCCUCUGGAAGAAAAACAGUGGCCCUGUUUCUUUUUAUUUCACUUACUGUCUAGCCUGACAAUCUCUGCCUUUUAAUGGCUUAACACAUUUACGUUGGACACACUUAUUUAUGAUUGGAUUUAAGCCCAGCGGUGUAUCUGUUCUUCCUUGCUUUGUUUGUCCCUGAAGGAACUUACCUGUUUCUUUUGUUCCUUCACCCCUCCUUUGAAUUAAUAUUUAUUAGUCAAUUUUAAUUUUUCACUACCUAAAAUGUAAUAUCUUUCCUCGGCAGUUGCUUUUAAAAUGUUUUUCUUUAUCUUCGGCUUCAACCAUACCGAUGUAGUUUCGAGUAGUUGUAAUUUUCUUUGUGUUUCUCUUAGCUGGUGUUUGCUGAGGGAGUUGAUUCUUCCUUCCCCAUGGGUCCGCACGUGUCAGGUUGUGUAUCUUAAUGCAGGUCAAUCACUGCUGACUGAAGGCUAAUGCCCAACCUCUCCAGUUUCUGCCCAGCCCUGGAGCUCGCAUUUACCGCCCUGACCUCAGGUCUCUGGAUCCUCCACUCCCUUGUUUCCGCUCCAACCCCUCUCCGACCUUCCUCCUUGCAUCCAUCCAGGCUCGGCGCAGUCUCUUUCCUCCCGGAAGGCUUCCUCCUCGGGGACCGGGAGUCUCCAAAGGCGCUCUGCACCCUGGACAACAGCACCACAGGCAUAUUUUUCUGAAGGAAAAAGUAAAUUAGUUUCUCCGCCAUUGACGUCAAAGAAAAUUUAUUUCUAUCAUGAGAGGGAAGCAGACCUGCUAGGUGGUUUCCGUGGUGUAGUGGUUAUCACGUUCGCCUAACACGCGAAAGGUCCCCGGUUCGAAACCGGGCGGAAA